GAUGGUGUACCUUUUUUGCUGAUAAAAUAAUAUUCAGCAUUUAAAAAAUUUUUUGAUAUUGCUAUUUAUCCCUAGAUGGUGUUCAAUGACAAAAACCAAAAUAUUUGCAAAACUCCAGGACAUGCAUCCUUCUGCUGAGAAAAAAAAGUCAUUAUCAAAACAGCCAUCCAACGGAAUUUGAAACAGUAUCUACAACGUAAGGCAAGUCAUCGUUUGACACACUUGACUCCACUCUGUAAAUGGUUAAAAAGUCACAUCUUAUAAACGCAUUUCCAGUGAAAUGAUUGUCCGCAGAGAUGCAGUCCCAUAGAAUAAAAUCCUAGGAGGAGUCUGUGAGGCCUCGGAAAUGAACUCAUCUCUCUCUGACAAAGACACAGAAAUUCCAAGCUCAUAUUUGCAAUAUGUGGGUUCCAUGACGUCUGCUGUGUAAGUUGCAGACGGAGAAUCCUGGAGGCGAGAUGCUGUUUAUGAGUCACGGGCUUCUUCCAUCCGGACCGGCUGACGGCUGCAGCUACCUUCUAUCAUUAGCAUUUUCCGGCAGUACUGCUCCAACUUUGGUGUGCAUGAGACCACCUGGAGAGCUUGUGAAAUCACAGACUUCUGGGCUCCACACUCCACUAAGUACCUGGAACUAGUGGAUACACGCCAAGAGUUCAUAGUCUUUUUGGCUCUGCCUGAGCAUCUGGGCGGCCAUGGCUACCCAAGUUCACCAGCAAGCCUUUGGGUGAACCCACUGGCCUCGACAUCCCACCUCAGACUCUCUGGGUCAGAGAGUGACCACUGCCAAAGCAUCUGGAAACCUUCUGGCUGAGUUGCUUGGCCUGAAGAUACACAGCUCAAGCUCCUCCCUCCUUUUCUCUAACCCUAAUUUUUCACUUGUACAAAUACUCUGUUUUUAC
Molecule: long non-coding RNA, 899 nt
Filed under: Ursus maritimus (polar bear)
Lineage: Eukaryota; Metazoa; Chordata; Mammalia; Carnivora; Ursidae
Description: lncRNA (ENSUMAG00000025386.1)
Source: RNAcentral